This 208-nucleotide long non-coding RNA is filed under the name Capsicum annuum. Its description in RNAcentral is "long non-coding RNA (CANN_LNC020885)". The record is from RNAcentral. Lineage: Eukaryota; Viridiplantae; Streptophyta; Magnoliopsida; Solanales; Solanaceae.
CCAUCUCCCUCUUGGGAAAAACCUCAACCUUUUGACUCUAGACUUCUUUUUGCAACCUAAGAAAAAUAGGAUCACAUUCUUGUUUUUCCUUUACCUCAACUAGCAAUGAAGAUUUUGAACAUUCUAAACCAAGAUAUCACUUUUGGUUGAAUCAACCAACCGAACUCCCAACCUAGCAAGCUAGUAAACCUCAUGAACUAACUCUUUC